GUUUACUCAGUCUCAGUUCUUUGUCACAAACUCUCAACCAACUUUAACUAGUAAUAUAUUUGCUCAAUCUCAACCCCUAGUAACACCUAACAUGCAACCUCUUAAUGCCAUAUCAAGCAUUAUAUUACCUCAUAGGAAUGACUCUAAAAAAACAAAUUCCAAAUAUAUCCUAAAAGAAAGAAAUUUGGAAAAGCUGAC
Long non-coding RNA from Gordionus sp. m RMFG-2023, 198 nucleotides. RefSeq lists it as uncharacterized. The transcript is spliced from 3 exons. NCBI's taxonomy places the organism in Eukaryota, Metazoa, Nematomorpha, Gordioida, Chordodea, Parachordodidae. The record is from RefSeq and is a predicted model, not a curated record.